Molecule: long non-coding RNA, 354 nt
Organism: Hydractinia symbiolongicarpus
Lineage: Eukaryota; Metazoa; Cnidaria; Hydrozoa; Anthoathecata; Hydractiniidae
Exons: 2
Source: RefSeq, a predicted model, not a curated record
UUUCACCUACUGCACCUGUGUAAGAGUGUACACAAACUGCUUUGUGGAGUAGUUAAAAACAAUGUUUAAUCACAUUUCAAUGUGAUUUUUUAGCACAUGUUUAUGUAUCCAGGUAAAUGGUGGCACCUUAGUGUAAAUUGAAGCUCUCUAAUGACAGCACAAGUAUACCGAUGUAAUUUAUAAAUUUAAAGAAAUGGAUCUAAUUUAUAGGUUCAAGAAAACUUAAUGCUGUUUUACGAGAAAGUCAUAUCUGCAAAAGAAGAAGAGAAUAAAGAAAAAACUCUUACAAUAUUUUUAUGGUUUAUUGAACUUUUAUCACUGUAACGGAAUGAUUAUGUAUCUUUAUAUCACACU